This 2906-nucleotide ribosomal RNA is filed under the name Salmonella enterica. RNAcentral describes it as "23S ribosomal RNA". It matches the Rfam family "Bacterial large subunit ribosomal RNA". The record is from RNAcentral. Lineage: Bacteria; Pseudomonadati; Pseudomonadota; Gammaproteobacteria; Enterobacterales; Enterobacteriaceae.
GGUUAAGCGACUAAGCGUACACGGUGGAUGCCCUGGCAGUCAGAGGCGAUGAAGGGCGUGCUAAUCUGCGAUAAGCGCCGGUAAGGUGAUAUGAACCGUUAUAACCGGCGAUACCCGAAUGGGGAAACCCAGUGUGACUCGUCACACUAUCAUUAACUGAAUCCAUAGGUUAAUGAGGCGAACCGGGGGAACUGAAACAUCUAAGUACCCCGAGGAAAAGAAAUCAACCGAGAUUCCCCCAGUAGCGGCGAGCGAACGGGGAGGAGCCCAGAGCCUGAAUCAGCAUGUGUGUUAGUGGAAGCGUCUGGAAAGGCGCGCGAUACAGGGUGACAGCCCCGUACACAAAAGCGCAUGUGCUGUGAGCUCGAUGAGUAGGGCGGGACACGUGGUAUCCUGUCUGAAUAUGGGGGGACCAUCCUCCAAGGCUAAAUACUCCUGACUGACCGAUAGUGAACCAGUACCGUGAGGGAAAGGCGAAAAGAACCCCGGCGAGGGGAGUGAAAAAGAACCUGAAACCGUGUACGUACAAGCAGUGGGAGCACCCUUUGGGGUGUGACUGCGUACCUUUUGUAUAAUGGGUCAGCGACUUAUAUUCUGUAGCAAGGUUAACCGAAUAGGGGAGCCGGAGGGAAACCGAGUCUUAAUUGGGCGUUAAGUUGCAGGGUAUAGACCCGAAACCCGGUGAUCUAGCCAUGGGCAGGUUGAAGGUUGGGUAACACUAACUGGAGGACCGAACCGACUAAUGUUGAAAAAUUAGCGGAUGACCUGUGGCUGGGGGUGAAAGGCCAAUCAAACCGGGAGAUAGCUGGUUCUCCCCGAAAGCUAUUUAGGUAGCGCCUCGUGAAUUCAUCUCCGGGGGUAGAGCACUGUUUCGGCUAGGGGGCCAUCCCGGCUUACCAACCCGAUGCAAACUGCGAAUACCGGAGAAUGUUAUCACGGGAGACACACGGCGGGUGCUAACGUCCGUCGUGAAGAGGGAAACAACCCAGACCGCCAGCUAAGGUCCCAAAGUCAUGGUUAAGUGGGAAACGAUGUGGGAAGGCCCAGACAGCCAGGAUGUUGGCUUAGAAGCAGCCAUCAUUUAAAGAAAGCGUAAUAGCUCACUGGUCGAGUCGGCCUGCGCGGAAGAUGUAACGGGGCUAAACCAUGCACCGAAGCUGCGGCAGCGACGCUUAUGCGUUGUUGGGUAGGGGAGCGUUCUGUAAGCCUGUGAAGGUGGCCUGUGAGGGUUGCUGGAGGUAUCAGAAGUGCGAAUGCUGACAUAAGUAACGAUAAAGCGGGUGAAAAGCCCGCUCGCCGGAAGACCAAGGGUUCCUGUCCAACGUUAAUCGGGGCAGGGUGAGUCGACCCCUAAGGCGAGGCCGAAAGGCGUAGUCGAUGGGAAACGGGUUAAUAUUCCCGUACUUGGUGUUACUGCGAAGGGGGGACGGAGAAGGCUAUGUUGGCCGGGCGACGGUUGUCCCGGUUUAAGCGUGUAGGUGUGUGUUCCAGGUAAAUCCGGUUCACUUUAACACUGAGGCGUGACGACGAGGCACUACGGUGCUGAAGCAACAAAUGCCCUGCUUCCAGGAAAAGCCUCUAAGCAUCAGGUAACAUCAAAUCGUACCCCAAACCGACACAGGUGGUCAGGUAGAGAAUACCAAGGCGCUUGAGAGAACUCGGGUGAAGGAACUAGGCAAAAUGGUGCCGUAACUUCGGGAGAAGGCACGCUGACAUGUAGGUGAAGUGAUUUACUCAUGGAGCUGAAGUCAGUCGAAGAUACCAGCUGGCUGCAACUGUUUAUUAAAAACACAGCACUGUGCAAACACGAAAGUGGACGUAUACGGUGUGACGCCUGCCCGGUGCCGGAAGGUUAAUUGAUGGGGUCAGCGCAAGCGAAGCUCCUGAUCGAAGCCCCGGUAAACGGCGGCCGUAACUAUAACGGUCCUAAGGUAGCGAAAUUCCUUGUCGGGUAAGUUCCGACCUGCACGAAUGGCGUAAUGAUGGCCAGGCUGUCUCCACCCGAGACUCAGUGAAAUUGAACUCGCUGUGAAGAUGCAGUGUACCCGCGGCAAGACGGAAAGACCCCGUGAACCUUUACUAUAGCUUGACACUGAACAUUGAGCCUUGAUGUGUAGGAUAGGUGGGAGGCUUUGAAGCGUGGACGCCAGUCUGCGUGGAGCCGACCUUGAAAUACCACCCUUUAAUGUUUGAUGUUCUAACGUGGACCCGUAAUCCGGGUUGCGGACAGUGUCUGGUGGGUAGUUUGACUGGGGCGGUCUCCUCCUAAAGAGUAACGGAGGAGCACGAAGGUUGGCUAAUCCUGGUCGGACAUCAGGAGGUUAGUGCAAUGGCAUAAGCCAGCUUGACUGCGAGCGUGACGGCGCGAGCAGGUGCGAAAGCAGGUCAUAGUGAUCCGGUGGUUCUGAAUGGAAGGGCCAUCGCUCAACGGAUAAAAGGUACUCCGGGGAUAACAGGCUGAUACCGCCCAAGAGUUCAUAUCGACGGCGGUGUUUGGCACCUCGAUGUCGGCUCAUCACAUCCUGGGGCUGAAGUAGGUCCCAAGGGUAUGGCUGUUCGCCAUUUAAAGUGGUACGCGAGCUGGGUUUAGAACGUCGUGAGACAGUUCGGUCCCUAUCUGCCGUGGGCGCUGGAGAACUGAGGGGGGCUGCUCCUAGUACGAGAGGACCGGAGUGGACGCAUCACUGGUGUUCGGGUUGUCAUGCCAAUGGCACUGCCCGGUAGCUAAAUGCGGAAGAGAUAAGUGCUGAAAGCAUCUAAGCACGAAACUUGCCCCGAGAUGAGUUCUCCCUGAGACUUAGAGUCUCCUGAAGGAACGUUGAAGACGACGACGUUGAUAGGCCGGGUGUGUAAGCGCAGCGAUGCGUUGAGCUAACCGGUACUAAUGAACCGUGAGGCUUAACCUU